UACGUAGGGUGCAAGCGUUGUCCGGAAUUAUUGGGCGUAAAGAGCUCGUAGGCGGUUUGUUGCGUCGGCUGUGAAAUCCCGAGGCUCAACCUCGGGUCUGCAGUCGAUACGAGCAAACUAGAGUGUUGCAGGGGAGACUGGAAUUCCUGGUGUAGCGGUGAAAUGCGCAGAUAUCAGGAGGGAACACCGGUGGCGAAGGCGGGUCUCUGGGCAACAACUGACGCUGGAGGAGCGAAAGCGUAGGGAGCGAACAGG
RNAcentral lists this ribosomal RNA (255 nucleotides) under uncultured bacterium. RNAcentral's name for it is "partial 16S ribosomal RNA". It matches the Rfam family "Bacterial small subunit ribosomal RNA", at positions 524 to 776 of the family's 1533-position model. The record is from RNAcentral.